Molecule: long non-coding RNA, 1695 nt
Organism: Crotalus tigris (Tiger rattlesnake)
Lineage: Eukaryota; Metazoa; Chordata; Lepidosauria; Squamata; Viperidae
Exons: 3
Source: RefSeq, a predicted model, not a curated record
UUUGGAUACUUUGAAGCCUAAUAUUAGAAGUCACACUCAAAAAAAGACAGGAUUGUUCCACACAUAUUCUCUUCUGUUUCACCAAUGACCAGCCAAUGAAAAUGCACCUUGCCUAGAACUGCUACUUGCUAUAUGAUCCUCCUGAAACCAAUUUCAUCUUGCAUAUUCUUCCUUAGGCAAAAUGUUUGGGAACUGUGAAGAAAAAGUCAAUUGUAUUUCUUCACUGAAAGGAAAAAAAAACAUCUUGGAGAAAUUUCUCAAGAUACAAUCAAUCAGAUUGACCUGGAGAAGAAAAAACAAUGGUCUUUAUACUUAGAACAACACAUUUAGAUCUUCCAUGAUCUGUUGCAAGUUAUUUAGAAUGAAAGGGAAUGUAGAAAGCCAUGGGAACAUAACGGCUUCGAAAUAUCUGGACCAGGCAGCAAAUAGCCAUGUUACUAAGUAGCUGUCCAUCACAAUCACUAGGCAACACAACAGUCAGAGAAUGAGGAGGCUGUAAAAAAAAUUUUCAGGAACGGAAUGGCCCUGGAACAUUUUAGCUCUAGAACACAACAACUAUCAACAUUUUUGCUGGAGAUUGCAGUGGUUUUGAACUAUUUGGAAUGUGGGUCACAACAUAUGUGCAAAAUUGUGGCUGUAGAGCACAAUGGCAGGAGACAUUAUGGAAACAGCACAAUAUUACAAACUAUAGUACAAAGAGUGACCAAGCCAAGGAAGCAAACUGGUACCACUACCCCACAUUAGGAAUAUAAUCUGAGGACCAGUGUCUAUUCUUCCACAUCUCACAUUCAAAUUGUGUAAUUGUGGAAUAAAAUUGGACUUCUCUAUAUAGUUACCAGGAGCCAAGACUGAAUCAAGGAAUAAUUUUUAAAAUAAAUUGUGCAUCUAUCUCAGAUCUCCAGCGAACACCAAAAAUCCAGAACAUUUUACAGAAAGUGACUGAGUAUUAACACUAAUUUCAAGGAAUAGUCACCUUGCUUCCUGAUUUGUGUUUUCUUUCUUCUUUCUUUCUUUCUUUCUUUUUUUCUUUCUUUCUUUCUUUCUUUCUUUCUUUCUUUCUUUCUUUCUUUCUUUCUUUCUUUCUUUCUUUCUAGAAUUCAACACAACCCUGGAGUGAUUAAAAAAGAGAGUCAUUUGGAUAUAAAAUAAACUGUAAAACUGCUAUAGAAUAUGUUUGAAAAUCAAUAAUUAUUGCCGCAAGUGAUGGGAUUACCCAUGCUGAUCUUUACUAGUUGAGUGCUCAAGAGGACAUGUCACCAAUCCUUUGCUGCAGCGCUGCAACUAGGAACCCUUCGGACCUGAGAGAGAAGAAUAAAAGUGUGCUUUUAUGCUGAUUGGGCUGGCCACGAGUGAUGACAUUGCUACAUUCCUUCUAGAACCAACAAAUACAGGAGAACUGGGUCUUAUAGGAGCUUUCCACAUCUUCUCCAGUCAAUGAGAUCUGCUCUUUCUGAAUCAACCAGUGUGCUAUCCCAAUGAGGGAAGGCUUGCACUAGAUGAACUCCUGCAGGAAUUGUCUUCCAUGUCUCCACUGAUGGCCCCUGCCAAUUGGCCUUGCCUUCAGGAAUAACAUAAGAGAAAUUGUUAGUAUCCAGAAAAACAGUCUUUGAAUCCUUCCCCGCUUUCCAUCGGGAUGUCUCUGGCAACCUUCUCCAACCAGGUACACUCCAAAUGUGUUGUAUAUGAAGUCCCAGA